UUGUCUUGUGAAGCAGUUGAUUGUUUAGAUGAAAGAUUCAGUUAGUUUUGUCUCUGCCCUCACAGUGCAUGGAAUAUUUCUGGCAAAGUUUAAAUCCAUUCCAAUUUUUAAAAUUAUUGACAUUAUUUUCUCUGCAUGAACACCACUUGGGAUAACUGCAACAAUGGGAAUACAUUACUGGAACAAACCUGACAAGGCCACACAGAACCAUAUGUGAUGGGAGGCAAAUUGAGCUCCCGAAGCAGAAGCGAACCAUCAAGCAUCCAGGUUUCAUAAAAUCUGAAUUCUCCCUGUGCAGGUAUAAACUUUGAACUGAAUUCAUCACAGUCUGUGUCUGCAGAAACAGGCAACCAGAGAUGUCACUCAGUGCAUGAACACACAUGGCUCAGGCUUUUUUGGCUCUUAAAAAGGAAAUGCCCACAAGAAGCCUUUGUAAUGACACUGUGAAAAAUAAAUCCAUCCUGAACAACCAAGCAAAGUAGGCAGAAUCUUAAAGAUGACUUUACUGGAAAAACAAGUAAGUUUCAGGUCUUGCAAUGCUGCUGCUACAAAGUGUGGUGAUGUCACAUUAAUGUCUUAAAACUGGCCAUUCAAUUGCAAGAUCAGGAUUCUAUGUCAGUAUAUCAUGAGCUUUACUUCUUUUAUUCCAGUCUUCCUAUCGGUGAAACAGUCUUUGUUUCCAUCUUUGAGGUAGGUUUCAUCUCACUGGGAAUGGUGAUUGUGUGGAUUGGAAUAAGUGCCGGGCUUUUACAGCUCACUGUGCGGGGAAAGGUGCUUGUGGGGAUUCAUUUUAACAGCAUUCAGUGACCAGAGCAGUGGGGCUUCAUGCCCAAGAAAUCAACCAUUGACCGCAUCCUAGCUCUCUCUUGAUAAUCUGAGUGAGGACUCGGAGUGUCUGGGUUUGACAUUAUCCUGGCUCAAGAAUGUCCAGGCUUUCCAUGACUUGCUGGGCUCAACCAAUGGAAAUGAAUCUAUGCAGUGAAAGUGUUGAACUUGUCAAGAGAUUCAUGUGACAUUCAUGUCUCUGGGUCCUUGGCUUUUGAUAUAUAGAGAUUCAUAGGAACACCUCAAGGGGUCAUGAGGUCCCUGGACAGAGCUUUUUGUCAAUGCCGACAAAAAAGAUUUUCAUUUUAACCUGCCAAUUUAUUUAGGCAUUGUGAAAAAAUGUGCCCAUCAGAACCAUGCAAACAUCUAAAAAUCAAAUAAAGAGGAAAAAGUGUGCAAAAGGCUGUUUGAUAAUUGUCAUUAUUGUUCAUUUACUGUGACUACUGACACAUACACCACAAGGAAAACUACAGGGGUGUUGCAAUACUGCAAAACCACAAACUUCGCCAGCUCCCUAUUCAUCAUGUGGACAUGCAAACAUGUAUGGUGAGCUGUGUGCAUUCUGUAAUUUGGUAAUUGUGCACAACCUAGGUUUCUAAAUAAAAAACAAAAACAUACUGGUUAGUUCAGGUCUUGGGUCCUGGAUAGAAACCAUCUAAGCAGACAUCCGGUUCAUCACCACCUCCUGAGAGUAGUCAUGGUUCUGGAUCUUUGGAAAUGCCGAGAUCCAGUAGUGUUCAGAAUAAUAGUAGUGCCAUGUGACUAAAAAGAUUAAUCCAGGU
This is a long non-coding RNA of Thalassophryne amazonica, 1607 nucleotides long. RefSeq lists it as uncharacterized. The transcript is spliced from 3 exons. Lineage: Eukaryota; Metazoa; Chordata; Actinopteri; Batrachoidiformes; Batrachoididae. The record is from RefSeq and is a predicted model, not a curated record.